UGCACAUAAUCUAUAACCAUGAAGGUGUCCUGACGUCUGCAUAUAAAAGCUCUUUCACUUUCCCCUGCUUUCUUCUGUUCCUUCAGAACUUAACAAGAGCUUACAAAUCCUCCCAAAGGCCUAUUUAGGUUAUCCCCCUAUAUCCCACAGCUGCCAGGCAGAUGCCUGUGGGAGACCAACAAGCAAUAGCCCUCUCCUGCGGUUGUUUUCCAGCUACGGGUAUUGAGAGACUUUCAGCCUCUGAUCUUGAGGUGGCAUAUAGCCAUCAUAAUUGGUAGCUGCUGAUAGCUUUACCCUCCAUGAAUUUGUGUAAUCUCUUCUAAAAGCCAUCUAAGUUGGUUUCUAUCACUGCAUCUCCUGGUAGGAAAAGUCAACAAUUUCACUAUGUCUGCCCUGAAUCUUCCAGCAUUUAGUCUCUUUGGAUGACCUUCGGGUUCUAGCAUUAAGGGAGGAAGAAAAACUUAACGCUAUCUACUUUCUCCACAUCAUGCUUCCCCCCCUCCAUUCACCAAACAUAACACUUCUUUUCAUACAGUACUUUCUCCAGAUAAUUUUGGGUGCCUUUUUCUGCAUUUUUUCCAGCUCUACAGUAUGUGGUUGUUGUUGUUUUUUUUUGAGAUGCAGGAAGCAGAACUGUCCACAGGAUUACAAGUGUGAUCGCACCAUAGGUUUGCAUGAAGACAUUACAAUAUUGGCAGUUUCAUUUUCAGUCCCUUUUCUAACUCUUCUCUAGCAUGGAAUUUUCUAACAUUUUCAUAGCUGCCUCACACAAGGCCCGUGAUUUCCACCAGAACACCACAGUUUCUUUCCUGAUUAGGCACUGCCAGUUCAGACACCAUCCAUGUAUACUUUAGGAUUUAAAAGUGGUGCGAUGUAUUAACUAUUUGUAACCCACUGUGGAAAUCAUUAUUCUGAAGAUGUAGGCUCUAACGUAUUUGUGAGUUUUUGGAUAUUUGGGAUUGUGGCUGUUGUAUAACAAAAUUAUGUGGAUGCAAGGAACUAAAUUGUUACGUACCCUCCAAUAUUUCUCCAAGGAAAAUAGGGAUGUCCUAUUCCAUGUUAAUAAUAAUAAUAACAACAACAAUUUUAUUAUUUAUAACCCACACAUCUGACUGGGUUGCCCCAGCCACUCUGGGCAGUUUCCAACAUGCAUAAAAACAUAAUAAAACAUCAAACAUUAAAAAACUUCCCUAAACAGGGCUGCCUUCAGGUGUCUUCUAAAGGUUGUAUAAUUACUUAUCUCCUUGGCUCUGGCGUCACAUAACUCCAUACCCUCCAACACUUCUCUGAUGAAAAUAGGGACGUCCUAAGGAAAAAACGGGACAAUUCCAGAAUCAAAUCAGAAACUGGGAUGGCUUCUGUAAAUCUGGGACUGCCCCUGGAAAAUAGGGACGCUUGGAGGGUCUGCUGUCCAGAGAGCCAUAUGUGCUCAGAUGAGCACAUGAGUCUUCUGUCAUUCAGUACUGAAUAUUAUGUAGGCCCUCUUCUGCAUGAAAAUCUUUCUCCUCAAUGGAAUUGAAUGGAAAACCAGGGUGGACAACAUAGCAUCUAUCACAGAAACCAUUUUGUUACUCUGUCAGCAUACUUUGUCACUAUGGCUUCUUCAGUCACUGGAGACACUCUUUUGCUCCGGUAUUAUAACUUUUAUUUUAUUUAUUUGAGGCAUUUAUAGGCUGCCUUUCAUAAUAUCUAUCCCAGGGUGGUUAAAGAGCAAUCAUUUACACACGCCGAAGAGCCAACAGGUACGCACCGAGUUCUUGUUUUUGUUUCGCUGGCUCUCUGCAACAAAUCACUAAGCCCUCCUGAGCUGAGAAAGUAGUUGGCAGAUGAGAUGGGGGUGGUGCUGGAAAUGAACAAAAAAUAAAAUCCCAACAGCAUAUGUAGAUCUGGUGAGUGUGUCGUUUUGGCAAACCCUGCUUGUGAGUAUUUCAAGACAGCUUGACAGACUAUAGGGGAUUAGUUCACGCAUACCUUUGAGUCUGCAUACCGAAAGCCUUUUAGUAGAGAAUUUUUAUUAUAGCUGUAAACCCUUGGAAAAGUUGCCAAUUAGCUGAAAAGCAUUAUCUGGCUUUGUCCAUCUUCUUUUCCUUCAGUUUACAGAAAUAUAGUAAUAAGAUAAUAUAUAUGUUGUACUCUUUACUGCAAGAUACCCACAGAGGUGCCUGGUACUAAAUUGUGCUGAAAAGUUGCUGAAUAGUUAUCUGGGUGUUCACAAUGCCUCUUUUAUGUGCAUUGAUUAAUUUUAUAUUCUUUGCUCCAUAAAUCAAGGUAAUAAGGAACAUUUCCAAAUGUGCCACUGAAAGUACCUUUUGCAUUACCUUUGUUCUAUUUAGAACCUUGUUUGUAUUAUAUACUGCAGAACAAGCUGAUAUACAGUUGUAGGUCUAGGGAUGUGCAAGUCUCUCUUAGCACUCUUAACAUGGUCAGAUUAUUACUGUGUUCUCUGAUUCGACUUGAUGUGUUCAAGGAUCUUCUCUGAUCUGAAAGGUCAGCUGCUUUUAGAUGUGCACCAGCAGAAUACUAAUACUGUCCUUAUUCAAAUUACCUGGUACAGUACUUAUUAAAUUGAUGGCCUUGUGCUCUAAUUUAAUACUGCCGUUGUUCAGAGACGGGUCGCAGCUGCACUCUGUGCUGAAUUAGGUGGAUCUGAGGCAAAGUUCAAGCAGAAACCAUGGUUUUGGGCUGCAUUUUCCCACUAAAUUAGCAGUCAGAUGCAGUGUAUAAUUAAUUAGCACAAACCAGGGAAAGCUUGUCAUUUAAUAAGCCUUUUUUAUUUCCACAUUACACAAACAGUGGGAAUUGAUCCAUUAAGUGCCUGGCUAUUAAUGCUGUUUAAUGUAUGUCUGGUUGCUAAAUUGAGAUGUCUACUUACAUACAUACAUUCAGUUUUCAAGAGCUCCUCACAGAUUGCUCAGCGAUUGCUGAGAUUUUAAGUCAUGUUCUACAAAUCAAUACCGUCUUAUGAACAUAGUUGGCUCAGACAGAAAGAUCUAAAAUGUUAGGCGUUGCUUGGUUUGAAAACAUUAUGUCUGAAAGAUGGUCCUGAUAUACUGUUUUUGUCUUUUUUUAAAAAAAUCUGUUUACUAUUAUUGAAUAUAGUGUUCAUUAAUUAUUAAACUUUGAGAACCAUUCAAGUCAUGAGAAGAGCACAGAGAAUUAUUGUGUUUAUGUUACAGAAGAGGUGAGGCAGGUGAACAGCUUAGAAAUUGCCCAUAAUUCUAAAACGAUCCUAAAAUGAUUACCUCCAUUGGCUGCAAUCCAGAAGGGAACACGAGCACCACCUGCACAUUUUCGGAGUGUUAUACUCUCACCAUCUGCCCUUAGAAUAUUCCAAAGAUUCUUUUAAAGUGUCACUGCAUUUCAAAAGCAGUUUGGUCGGGGUGAGGGGGCAGUCAGCAUGAGAGGGAUGUUCUGGUGCAGAAGUAGUUUGGCCUCUUGGCUUCUUUCCUAAGCUGAUGAAUGUUAAUUUUAGCUUUAUAUUGAAACAUAUCCUCCAAUUUCUCCCCCGACAAAAGAGGCUUCUGUUUUUCUCCCAUAUUCUCAGGGUGCUUUGGAUUUUGAUGGGUUCAGGGUUGAGCUUUCUUUAACACUGUGAGGUGAGACCCGCAGGUAUAGGGUGGUAUAUAAAUUAAAUAAAAUUCUGUGUUUUUCUUUCCAUGAAACAUUUAUUGUCUACUUUGCACCCAACCAUGGCUGAAAACCCUCAUGGGAGGAGUUCAUAGAAAUCAUAAAACUGGAAGGGAGCUGGAAGGGACCACAAGGGUCAUAGAGCCCAACCCCCAGCAAUGCAGGAAUCUUUUGCCCAAUGUGGGGCUUGAACCCCCAACUCUGAGAUUAAGUGUCUCAUGCUCUACCAACUGAUGACGUGUUCCCCUGGACUUUAAUUGAAGCAACAUGAUAAGUUAGGGGAAGCUGGUUACUAUAUACACCAGAUUGGUGGUGGUAGCAGGGUGGGGUACAAGUACACAUUACUUGUCUAGAGAGCUAUAUGGCAAAAUUUGGAGAAGUGCAAAUAUUAAAGAUAGCUGGUUCAUGUGUUGUUUCAGGAAGUACAAAUGGAGUAGGUUUGCCAUCAAAUGUGAACUGAGAUGAAUUGAAUUUCUCCUCCAUCGAUAAUAGAUGGACACACUGAUUUUGUUUUUAAGGAAAGUUCUUCCUUUUGCCCCCCCUUUAAUUUUGCACUGAUUUCUAGGUGCACAGUAUACAGCCUCUCUGCAAUCCCAUACUUACAUGAAAGGUCACCUGAGGACAGGAUGCUCAGGAACCCAGGAAGGCGGUAGAAGUAGACCACUGGAGAUACGACUGGCAGAAUGAAAGACUCUCAGAGGUCUUGGCCAUCUUGAAAGCAAGGUAAGCACAACAGAAACACUAUACCACCAUGAAAAUUUCAUCAACAUUUUCUCUCUGCUUUGCUAAUUUUUAAUACAAUUUCUUUUCUCAUCAGUUGUUGGAGAAUGGUUAAGAAAGCACAUAAUAUUUUUUUUCAGACACAGCUCUCAUAUUUAUUCAUUGAUGCCACAAAUACUGCCAUGCUACAUCAGACCAGUGCUUUUUUUCUUUAAAAAAAUGUUUAAGGGUACUCUCAUUUUCACUCAAGAAAAUCACCAUUUUAUAGUUCAAAUCAGGAAAAAUAAAUACAGUAAAUGGACAAAAGUGCAAAGAACAUGCAUUACCUCAUGAUGAUGAAAAAUUUUCCUACUCAUAUUGAAAUACUGCCCCUCAGUGAGGCCAAAUUUUCAUCAGUAAAGCCCUGCACAUCCACAUUCCAAACUGCUUCACACAUUAAAUGCUUGCUUCCGUCUGAGACUCAGGAAACACCGGGAAUGGAAAUGAAGCCGACAUCAGAGGUGGUAACAAUGACACUGACCAAUCACUGUGCUAGAUUCCAACUCCUACUUCACACAUUAAAUGCUCACUUCCGUUUGACAGGAAACACCGUGACAGGAAAUGAAGCUGCCAUCGGGGAUAGCAACAGAACUGAUGAUUCACCGUGCUAGAGAAGAAACUAUUUUAUUAUUUUUUAAUUAGUUUCUUCUCCCGUUAGAUUCACAAAAUGUUUAGGGGUAUGCGUACCCCUGCAUCCCUCCAGGAAAAAAGCACUGCAUCAAGCUGAUAAUCACCUCCAGUAACCUCAGGUAAGGGGUGUUUCCUUAGGCAAAGCAUGAUGGUGUGUAUUUGUAUUUGCCAUCUUUGGCUGAGACUCAGUACUUGGUAAUCAGAACAUUUGGUCAUCAUAGCUAAUGACUACUAAUAGGAUUCAUUUUAUUUGGGUCUUUUUAGAGGAAUGCAAAAACCUAACCCAACAGCCUGUAGCAUAUUAGCAUUCUUAUUAACCUAGGAUUCAAAUACCCCACUCAGCCAUGAAUCACACUAGGUGACUUGGGACCUUUCGCUCACUCUCAACCACUGUGGCGUUUGCCCUCCUAUGUGUGUGACAUCAUACUGGGUUCAUAGGGAAAGGGCUAACUAAUUGUAAAAUGACUAACCAAUGGGAACCCAGGGGGCAGAGUUAACUGUGUAUAAGGUUUAUGCACAGAGGGGUUUUUUAGGGAGUUAAGAGUUGUUGAGAAGCCAGUCUGGAGUUAGAAGAGAGAAAUAAGAAAAGUCUGUGGGUUGGGCUAGUCUGGUGGGAGAGAGUGAGAGAAUUUGUUAAGAUGAGUCAGUCAAACAGUUGAGAUAAUCAGUCAGAAGGCAUUAGAAAGGUAUAGGCCGGUAAAGAAACUAAAUUUAAGAUACUGACAGGAAUAUUAUCUGAGAAACCAUAAACUUGUUAAUGUUUGUAAAAUAAACUUGUUUUUUGGUUCACUUUUAACGACUGACUGGACUCAGUGUUUUACCAGAGAGUAACUGGUUGGUGGCAGCAGGGAAGUGAGCACAGUGGUGGCACAGGGAUCAAUAGACAGUUGUUUUUUUGUUUUUUUAAAAUAAUUUUUAUUAAGUACAAAUUAGAAAACAUACAUAUUCACAACAAAAGAAAAAAAGAAAAUACAUCUAACCAAG
Molecule: non-coding RNA, 6000 nt
Organism: Podarcis lilfordi (Lilford's wall lizard)
Lineage: Eukaryota; Metazoa; Chordata; Lepidosauria; Squamata; Lacertidae
Source: the annotation of a GenBank genome assembly